AGAAAAGUAAGCUAAAAUAAGCUAAUGGGUUCAUACCCCAUAUAUAGAAAAUAUUUUCUCUUUUCUA
Molecule: transfer RNA, 67 nt
Filed under: Anallacta methanoides
Lineage: Eukaryota; Metazoa; Arthropoda; Insecta; Blattodea; Blattellidae
Description: tRNA-Met
Source: RNAcentral